GAACGCUGGCGGCGUGCCUAAUACAUGCAAGUCGAGCGGACUGAUUAAGAGCUUGCUCUUAUGAGGUUAGCGGCGGACGGGUGAGUAACACGUGGGCAACCUGCCCUGUAGACUGGGAUAACAUCGAGAAAUCGGUGCUAAUACCGGAUAAUUGUUGGAACUGCAUAGUUCUAACUUAAAAGAUGGCUCCGGCUAUCACUAUAGGAUGGGCCCGCGGCGCAUUAGCUAGUUGGUAAGGUAAUGGCUUACCAAGGCGACGAUGCGUAGCCGACCUGAGAGGGUGAUCGGCCACACUGGGACUGAGACACGGCCCAGACUCCUACGGGAGGCAGCAGUAGGGAAUCUUCCGCAAUGGACGAAAGUCUGACGGAGCAACGCCGCGUGAGUGAUGAAGGUUUUCGGAUCGUAAAGCUCUGUUGUUAGGGAAGAACAAGUGCCGUUCGAAUAGGGCGGCACCUUGACGGUACCUAACCAGAAAGCCACGGCUAACUACGUG
This 496-nucleotide ribosomal RNA is filed under the name uncultured bacterium. Its description in RNAcentral is "bacterial SSU rRNA". It matches the Rfam family "Bacterial small subunit ribosomal RNA", at positions 31 to 507 of the family's 1533-position model. The record is from RNAcentral.